Long non-coding RNA from Oreochromis aureus, 1277 nucleotides. The record is from Ensembl. Lineage: Eukaryota; Metazoa; Chordata; Actinopteri; Cichliformes; Cichlidae.
GUGGAGGAUCUAUCGGUUUUGUGAGGAAAGAAAAGAUGAGAGCCAACAGUAGUGCAGUUUCCACCAGGACCCUGUUGGCCAAAAGUACUGGAGGCAGUCAUUAACCUGGCUCUCGACUGAUCUGGUUCUGUUUUCCCUUCCUGUGUGUUAUCUGAAGCUUUUCUGAGCCACAAGUACAGAAACAUAUCGCUGAUGAUGAGAUGGGGUCCUUCUACCGCUCCGGCAGGCGUCGUGACACAUGCCCUGACUUUUAAUGACCUGCCUGCUCCUUCAGGGGAGCGCACGGGGAACAGACUGGAAUCCAAAGAAUAUCCAGUAUUUCUGAAUGUCAUCAAAACUAAACAGCAAAAUCCUUGAAGGUCUUUAAAAGGAAUGUAUGUCAAGCCCAACAGAAGCAGCUGUGAAUGUUGAAGAGCUAUCUACACGUUUUAUGCUAGAAAAGGAGAAAUGGCGGGCGUUCGUUUGAGUGCAACCAUGUGGCUUCUCUCUUUGUGUGCACGUCUUUCUCCUCAGUGUGCAUCUGCCUCAAAGGUGGAGCAUGUUUCAGAUUGGUUGGUGGUUUGAGGCCCAGAUCCAACACUUCUUGUUUGCAGUGGCAGCAGGCACAACCUUUUUCCAGACAGAUCCUUAUCCACACACGCCCUAACACAUAGACAUACAUCGACACAGACUUUGAGAAGCCGAACUCGUGUGCACCAUAAUCUGCACUCUCCGCUGGGUUUGUGUGAGUGUGUAUAUGCAUAUAUAUGUAUUGUGAAUCUGUGUGUGCAUGUUCGUGAACAUUUCUCUUUGAAUCUUUGUGUGUGCGCGAAUCCUGUCUGGCUGCAUAGAGGGGCUGAGGUGAGUGAUUGCCUUGUUUCUGUGGGCGGCAAGCUGUGGCGGUUUGCUCUCACUGUAAAUUUAGAAGAAUUCUUAAUGGAACUCCAGAGCUGUCAGACCUCAAAGUGUUGUACCUUUUUUUUUCCCCGAUGGAAAGAGCGAUGACUAGAUCCUCUGUAUACAACCUGAUUCUGAAAGUCAGAAGGAAGAAAGACAUUAGUUAAUGCAUAUGUGUUGUGGAAAAAAUACCACAGUGCCACAAAUUCUGCUGUAAACUGCAUAAUUGAAGCAAUGGGAGGUGGGAAAAUAGCCCACAGUUUGUUAGUCUCAUACUCUUUAACCAUCAGUUAAAGUAAUUAAAUAGAUUAAGUGGUGCAACUUAAUCUAUUUAAAUUUGAAAAUAUUGUUCUUUUUUCCAUUUUCUGACUUUUUGAGUUAUUGAUCGUUUUUGAUUAAAU